Molecule: non-coding RNA, 1280 nt
Organism: Styela clava
Lineage: Eukaryota; Metazoa; Chordata; Ascidiacea; Stolidobranchia; Styelidae
Source: RefSeq, a predicted model, not a curated record
CGGGAUUAGGAAAAAGGCCAAUCCCAGUUGGAAUAGUUUAAAAAUAACUCAAAAAUAUUCUGCCAAUAAAUACACAUAUCUACCAAUGGUUUAGUACACGCUAAAAUUGUUCUGCGGGGCGCAAGGAAUGUGUGCUCGGGCCGCGGUGUGAACCACCCUGAUCUACCCUAUAAAGCUCGGUAAAAGCAAUGCCUAAUCAUAAUCAGUUAACCGCUAUCUUGAAAUUCAUACUAACAUACAUUCCUAAAUCAUCAAAGGUUAUUACUGUUCCACCCGAAAGUUGGCCAGGGCAAAUUUGACGUUUUUACGUACACUACGAAGACGCGUCUGACGCAUUACACAAUGGUAUGUUGUGAGUUUGUUGAUUAAUUAUGAUAAUUGGUAAAUUAGAAGCGCAAUGGUUGGAUGUCUUGUCUCAGUCUAGCGCAGUAUUCAGUGUGAAUCAGUGUUUACAGGUUCUGUAUUGUUGGUAGUACUCGCUAUGUAUCUGUUGGAAAUGACAAUUUGUGAGUUUACAAAUUCUUGUAAGAAUUGAUGUUCUCAAGUCUAAUACAAAUAUAAUGUAGGGCAGUAUUACAGUCAACUUAGCGCAGUAACUACUGCUUUAAUAUUUUAUUCAUAAAACUUGGAUUUUAUUUACUCCAAGGCAUAUUUCGUUUGAUUGUGUUACUUGUAGAGUCAAAACAUUAGAUGCCAUGUUCCUGAUUUCAUUCCCAGUUCCAUCGUGUUGACUGUUUUGAACAAACUACACAGAUUUUUAGUUGAAUUUCAUUGGGACAUAGCACUUUACGGCACAGAUAAUAUGCUGGAACCCCUUGCUCUCUAAUAUCAAACACUAGUAACUGGUUCAGAAACAAAUCGUUUUGUUCGUGACAAGACUUGUUUAUUGGGGGUGCGUUGUCGAAGAUCUUCAACCACUAAUAUUUAGCUACGAAUGUAAACUUUUUCUUUUCUUUUGAAAAGCCGAGAACAUUUGAAAAAUAUAUUGCAUUUUAAGAAUAUCCUAACGUCAAAGCCAGGAGAAUGAGCAUGUGUUCAAGUAUUCAAAAUGAAAUGAAAAAUACCUAUUGCUUCAAUUAUCACCCUUCCGAAAUUUACAAAACCAUCUACACAGAAAGCUAAACUCACAUCUCCCACUAACCUUUUGAUUUCUGGUUUUCUUCUCUCUAAAGGUAUUUGAGUUUUAAGUCAAUUUCUUAUGCUCCACAUUUUCAGGAAUGUUUGUAAAUGAGCGUUCUUGGCCUGAAUCGCUUGUUUUCUGAAUAAAGGUCCACAAUUCA